Molecule: long non-coding RNA, 561 nt
Filed under: Homo sapiens (human)
Lineage: Eukaryota; Metazoa; Chordata; Mammalia; Primates; Hominidae
Description: non-protein coding lnc-HNRNPA3-13:1
Source: RNAcentral
UUUGGCCUACAAGCAUUGGCUGAACUUUGGGGACGACAUUCCCAGCGCUCUUCGAAUCGCGAAGCAGCGCUGAAACAGCAUCGAGGAAGGGCGCAUCCACCAGGAGAGCGAGCUGCACUCCUACCUCUCGAGGCUCAUUGCGGCAGAGCGUGAGAGGGAGCUCGAAGAGUGCCAACGGAACCAUAAGGGUGAUGAAGACGACAGCCAGGUCCGGGCCCAGCAGGCCUGCAAUGAGGCCAAGCACGUGAGGGUGCCCCCCGCCCACAUGACAAAUACAUGGCGGACAUGGAUGAGCUCUUCUCUCAGGUGGACGAGAAGAGGAAGAAGUACGACAUCCCCAAAUACCUGUGCUGUAAGAUCAGUUUUGAGCUGAUGCGGGAGCUAUGCAUCACGCCCACUGGCAUCUCCUAUGACCGCAAGGACAUCGAGGAGCACCUGCAGCGCGUGGAUCAUUUUGACCCUGUGACCUGGAGCCCCCUAACCCAGAAACAGUUCAUCCCCAACCUGGCCAUGAAGGAGGUCAUUGACGCAUUCAUCUCUGAGAACGGCUGGGUUGAGGAC